This 1038-nucleotide long non-coding RNA is filed under the name Equus caballus (horse). RNAcentral's name for it is "lncRNA (ENSECAG00000040208.3)". The record is from RNAcentral. Lineage: Eukaryota; Metazoa; Chordata; Mammalia; Perissodactyla; Equidae.
UCUUGCCUGCUCUCAAUUUCCACUCUCUGAUUUCGUUCAGACUGGAGGCCUGCGGGCCUGUGCUCAUUUACCGAGUCACUAACUUGUAUUUUUUUAUUCUUCACACAGACUCCAUGUACACUGCCCUAUGCUUUCCAGAAGGCUGGGGGCCCCAUGCAUCGCCCCGGGCUGAGAAGGAGCUGGAGGCUGAGAAAGUCACCUGCCUCCCCAGUGCCCGAGACCGCAGCCGCUAUGCUCCUGCCGGACUUCACAGCCGCCUCAAGUGCUGAGAGAUCCAGCGGCAGGGCCCCACUUCCCUGCCCUGUGAAUGAAAAUAGCCAUUCUCAACAUCAAUGUUGCUGCUUCUCCUUGCUCUGAUUAGGAUUUAUUUCCCUAGCUAGAGAAAAAGAAAGGCACUUUAGAAGUCCUAAUUAGAAUGACUCCUCUCUAUUUAAUUUAUUCAGGAUAUCCUGCUGAGCUGCACCGGUGUGUCCCAAUGUAUUAUUAUUAUUAUUGUUUUAAAGAAGCCAUUUCUGACCAGAGGCUGGAGGAGACGCCCUUCGUCUGUCUCUCGGCCCUGUGGUCCUGGCCCUCGCCAAGGGAACUGUUCUUGCUCUGCUGUGUUUAUUUGCAUUAUGUAAUAUAAACAGCUCCAGGGAGAUGGGCUUCUCCACUUUGUUUUUAGACUCAGACUUCGCUCGCCCUCAGCAGAGCUUGUCACUUGAGUGGUUUCCUCUAGCUUUCUGUUUUGCUGCUGGAGAACAAAACAGCCUGCCCUUGACCCUUCUGCAGGACCAGCCCUUUCCUCCCGCCAUGACCCAGCAAUGAAAGUGAGACACUGCUGAUGCUGACAGUGUCCCCAGAGGCUCAGCAUGGGCCGGGGCGGAGGGGGCGUCCAAACUGAGCAGAGACGAAUCAGUGGGGUCACCAACUGCAGGGGGGAGAAGGAUGUUCUUUUCAUCUCUUCAGAUCUAUUCUGCCCUCCACGUCCACCCUCUCCUCGGUCCUUCCCAGCUGCCCAUUACAGACACAAGGCUAUGCAUGGGUUCUAAAUUCUCC